GCUGAACGCUGGCGGCGUGCUUAACACAUGCAAGUCGAACGAUGAAGCCCAGCUUGUUGGGUGGAUUAGUGGCGAACGGGUGAGUAACACGUGAGUAACCUGCCCUUAACUCUGGGAUAAGCCUGGGAAACUGGGUCUAAUACCGGAUAGGAGCGUCCACCGCAUGGUGGGUGUUGGAAAGAUUUAUCGGUUUUGGAUGGACUCGCGGCCUAUCAGCUUGUUGGUGAGGUAAUGGCUCACCAAGGCGACGACGGGUAGCCGGCCUGAGAGGGUGACCGGCCACACUGGGACUGAGACACGGCCCAGACUCCUACGGGAGGCAGCAGUGGGGAAUAUUGCACAAUGGGCGCAAGCCUGAUGCAGCGACGCCGCGUGAGGGAUGACGGCCUUCGGGUUGUAAACCUCUUUCAGUAGGGAAGAAGCGAAAGUGACGGUACCUGCAGAAGAAGCACCGGCUAACUACGUG
This 466-nucleotide ribosomal RNA is filed under the name uncultured bacterium. RNAcentral describes it as "partial 16S ribosomal RNA". It matches the Rfam family "Bacterial small subunit ribosomal RNA", at positions 28 to 507 of the family's 1533-position model. The record is from RNAcentral.